This 29-nucleotide small RNA is filed under the name Bombyx mori (domestic silkworm). RNAcentral describes it as "piRNA piR-bmo-1937284". The record is from RNAcentral. Lineage: Eukaryota; Metazoa; Arthropoda; Insecta; Lepidoptera; Bombycidae.
UGACUAGUAACAUUGACAGGCUUAGUAGC